Molecule: ribosomal RNA, 501 nt
Filed under: uncultured bacterium
Lineage: Bacteria
Description: partial 16S ribosomal RNA
Rfam family: Bacterial small subunit ribosomal RNA
Source: RNAcentral
AUUGAACGCUGGCGGCAGGCUUAACACAUGCAAGUCGAGCGGAGAUGAGGUGCUUGCACCUUAUCUUAGCGGCGGACGGGUGAGUAAUGCUUAGGAAUCUGCCUAUUAGUGGGGGACAACGUUCCGAAAGGAAUGCUAAUACCGCAUACGUCCUACGGGAGAAAGCAGGGGAUCUUCGGACCUUGCGCUAAUAGAUGAGCCUAAGUCGGAUUAGCUAGUUGGUGGGGUAAGGGCCUACCAAGGCGACGAUCUGUAGCGGGUCUGAGAGGAUGAUCCGCCACACUGGGACUGAGACACGGCCCAGACUCCUACGGGAGGCAGCAGUGGGGAAUAUUGGACAAUGGGGGAAACCCUGAUCCAGCCAUGCCGCGUGUGUGAAGAAGGCCUUAUGGUUGUAAAGCACUUUAAGCGAGGAGGAGGCUACUGAGACUAAUACUCUUGGAUAGUGGACGUUACUCGCAGAAUAAGCACCGGCUAACUCUGUGCCAGCCGCCGCGGUAA